UAAUGGAAGGCUAAAGCUGACCGGAUAAGUUCACUCUGAAGGCGGUGGUACAUUAAUGAAAUCUGCAGGAGUAAUUGGAUAGCAUAUGAUUCUUUAUGGAGGCUGGUGAAAAAUUAGUGGCCCCCUUAGCAAAAAGCAUUCGCAGCAAACAAAGCUGCAUUUUUUAAUGAAAAAUUACCUGGGAUCUGCAUGAAUUGUUCAGAGAUUAUUUCUGCCUUCAGAAUGUCAGCUAUAUCUUGGAGUGAUCAAAGGGCAGUCUUCAUAAUGUGUGCUGGUUACCCAUCCAUUGACAAUCGCCUGUGCGAUACCCUACAGACAAUAAAAGCCAAUAUCUCGCCUCACUUCUCCGAGAGUUAUUGAUGGUGCAUCACAGCAAAGCCCCCAAAGAGAGGUCAUGGUCGACAGUACAUCCAGAACUACUGUUCAUCCAACAAUCGGACAUCCCACAGGCUCUGUCUCACUACUAAGGGAGAGACAGAUAUCACUCCUGCCACAGCGACAGGGAAGACAACAGUCGCUAUUUAGAUGUUAGUCAGUCUGAAGCACUGCCUUUUAUUUCGAGUUCCCUGAUUCAAGAACUGGUAGCAGGCUCUGUCUCGCUGUCUGUCUCGAAGAAGCGAGAAUACAUACACGCCAGCCAGCCUGAAGAGGCAACGGAGACACGAGAAUAGGAAGAAUUCAUCUGUUUUGCUGAUGAGCUGGGAGAAGUCAGCUACAUUCCUAGGGUAUUUCUUUUCCACCCUAUCUAAAUUUGCAUUACAAAUAUACUACUUCAGACCGUCCAAACUGUACCGUGGAGGGGUUUACCUUCAGUGGAACAUUGUCGAUAACCUGUAAAGUCCGUGAAACCAACCACGUGUGCUCUUUCUCUCCCGGAGAUGCAAUUAGAAUAUUAUCUAGCUGUUGCAAAAUACUGCUACUGGUAUCUGCCAAGACAACACAGGUGAAUACUUUCACUAUACAUCGACGGAAAAUAGAGGGCUGUUAUGGGAAUCCUGAGAAUCUUUGACCAAGAAUACUGUUGUCUCUGGAUGGUAAAAGCUAACUUAUCCUAUCAGGACAUACUGGAGCUGACCAAAAACCAUUCACCAUAUCUAAGACAGUAAAAGUCCUGUUCCGACCUCUGGCCAUUCAGGUGGGUUUGCCACCACAGGAUAUUCCCAAGUGACAUAUUUGUUCAUAGAGUUGUAAUCAAUGCGUUGCUGGUGGGACCUGUCUGGCUUAUGUAUCAGACAGACUGGAGAAUUCGUAUGGGAGAUGGUUGGCUGGUUCACUCCUUGUCUCCAUAAGACCAUUAGACAUAGGAGCAGAAUUAAGCUAUCUGGCCCAUUGAGUCUGCUCCACCAUUCAAUUAUGGCUGAUCCUUUUUUGUAUCUCCUCCUCAACCCCAGUUCCCAGCCUUUUCCCCAUAACCUUUGAUGCCAUGUCCAAUCAAGAACCUAUCAAUCUUUGCCUUAAAUAUGCAGCUGCAUGUGGCAACAAAUUCACCACCCUUUGGCUAAAGAAAUUACUUCGUAUCUCUGUUUUGAAAGGAUGCCUUUCUGUGCUGAGGCUGUGCCCUCUUGUCCUAGACUCUCCCACCAUGGGAAACCUCCUUUCCAAAUCUACUCUGUCCAGGCCUUUCAACAUUCAAAAGGUUUCAAUGAGAUCCCUCCUCAUCCUUCUGAAUUCCAGUGACUACAGACCCAGAGCCAUCAAACAGUCUUCGUAUGAUAACCCUUUCAUUCCUGGAAUUAUCCUUGUGAACCUCCUUUGGACCCUCUCCAAUGCCAGCACAUCUUUUCUAAUAUGAGGGGCCCAAAACUGUUCACAAUACUCAAGGUGAGGCCUCACCAGUGCCUUAUCAAGCCUCAGCAUCACAUCCUUGCUCUUGUAUUCUAGUCCUUUUGAAAUGAAUGCUAACAUGGCAUGUUCUGCAUAAAGACCUGUUUAAAAAGUAGUCCGCUGUUUAUUUCUAUUACCAAAGUGCAUGACUGUGCAUUUUCAUUUGCCACUUUCUUGCCCAUUCUCCUAAUCUGUCUGUUCUUCUGCAGCCAUCUUGUUUCCUCGACACUACUUGCCCCUCCACCAAUUUUUGUAUCAUCUACAAACUUGGCAAUAAAGCCAACUAUUCCAUCAUCUAAAUCAUUUAUAUACAGCAUAAAAAGAAGUGGUCCCAACACUGAUCCCUGCAGAACACCACUAGUCACUGGCAACAAACCAGAAAAGGAUCCUUUUGUUCUCACUCGCUGCAUCCUACCAAUCAGCCAGUGCUCUAAUCAUGUUAGUAACUUUCCUGUAAUACCACAGGCUUUUAACUUGGCAAGCAGCCUCAUGUGUGGCACCUUGUCAAAGGCCUUCUGAAAGUCCAAAUAUAUGACAUCCGUUGCAUCCCCUUUAUCUAUCCUACUUACCUCUGUAGCUCUAUGACCAUUUUUAUGACUGCAGCCUCUGCUUCUAAGUUAAUGGGGCACUGACUAUGGGAUGGGUGUGAUGGACCUUCUAUCUGAACGAGUGUUA
Hypanus sabinus (Atlantic stingray) is the source of this 2499-nucleotide long non-coding RNA. RefSeq lists it as uncharacterized. The transcript has 4 exons. The record is from RefSeq and is a predicted model, not a curated record. Lineage: Eukaryota; Metazoa; Chordata; Chondrichthyes; Myliobatiformes; Dasyatidae.